This 761-nucleotide unclassified non-coding RNA is filed under the name Eurytemora carolleeae. RNAcentral describes it as "methylmalonyl-CoA epimerase, mitochondrial". The record is from RNAcentral. Lineage: Eukaryota; Metazoa; Arthropoda; Copepoda; Calanoida; Temoridae.
AACUUUGCUCAUUUAAAUUUCAGAUGUUGCGUAAUUUCCAGAGCGUAUUUCGCGUAUUGGGACGACAAACUCGUCAGUAUUCUGUCAAGUCGGACCAUGCAGUUUGGUCUCUAGGAAGGCUUAAUCAUGUCGCUAUAGCGGUGCCUGAUUUAGAAGCUGCUACAGCACUUUAUCGUGAUAUUCUAGGGGCUACAGUUAGUGAGCCUCAGGGACUACCGGAGCAUGGGGUAACUACAGUGUUUGUUAACCUUGAUAAUACCAAGCUUGAAUUAUUGCAUCCGUUAGGAGACAAUUCUCCAAUUGCUGGUUUCCUCAAAAAGAAUGCAUCAGGCGGUAUUCAUCAUAUAUGUAUUGAGGUCAAUAACAUAGACGCAGCAGUUCAACAGAUGAAGGAGAAAAAUAUUCGCUGUCUUUCUAAGGAAACAAGAAUAGGGGCCCAUGGUAAACCUGUAAUGUUUCUGCAUCCUAAGGACUGUAAUGGAGUUCUAGUUGAGUUAGAACAAGAAUAAAUAUACUUAAUCAUGUACAAGAACAGGGCUCACCCACAAAGGAUGAGAUUUAAAGUCGACCUUAAAGUCCUUUUGAUCUUGUGCAAGUAUGGGGCUUACCAACAAAGAAUGAGACUAAUGCCGACCAAAAAUGAAAUAUAAUAAUCUUCAGGUCUAAAUUGGUUGUGUGCUUCGGACAAAGUUUUAAAGAAAUGUACGAAAUUAUUUGUAAAGAAAAAAGUUUAUAAUUGUGGAAUAAAAUCUAUUAAAUCA